Lagenorhynchus albirostris (white-beaked dolphin) is the source of this 2715-nucleotide long non-coding RNA. RefSeq lists it as uncharacterized. The transcript is spliced from 6 exons. Lineage: Eukaryota; Metazoa; Chordata; Mammalia; Artiodactyla; Delphinidae. The record is from RefSeq and is a predicted model, not a curated record.
GGGCUCUAGGCAUGCCAGCUUCAGUAGUUGUGGCGCACUGGGCUUAGCUGCUCCACGGACUGUGGGAUCUUCCCAGACCAGGGAUCGAACCUGUGUCCCCUGCAUCGGCAGGCGGAUUCUUAACCACUGCACCACCAGGGAAGUCCCAUAUUGUGUUUUUUAUACACUGCUCCCCCCACCAACACAUACACACAUGGUGGAGUACUGUGUGAGAUAGGGUGGGUGGAGAACCACUGCCCUGGUCUGAUGGAAAUACCUCUUCUCCAUAUUCCCAGGCUUCUUCCACUCACCUGGAGCAUUAGCCUGUGGCCCUGCACAGCAGCAACUGAUUUCCAUAUCUGCCUCCUCCACUGAAUUAUAAGCACCUUCAUGCAGCGGCUGACUGACCAUUGAUUUAACUCUGUGUCCAUAACACCUAGCAUGGGAGCUGCCAUACAAAUAAUAACGUUUCAUGGCGGAUAAAUUGGAAAAUUCCAAAAUUCCGAUAAAAAUCGCCCAUAAUAUAACGUAACAUCCAGAGACAACUACUGUUUGAAUUCUAGAAAACAUCCUUCUCUGCUUUUCUUCUCUGCCUGGGAUACAUAUCUACAAGGAUGUCCACAGUAUCAAAAACAAAUUCUGGAUAUCACCUGCGAAACAAGCAUACCUACUCAAACGACCAGAUUCAAAAAUUAUAUCUUCUAGAGAUCAAAAAAUAUUCAAGGGAACAAUGGAGACACAGGUUCGAGCCCUGGUCUGGGAAGAUCCCACGUGAUGCGGAGCAACUAAGCCCGUGUGCCACGACUCCUGAGCCCACGUGCCACAACUACUGAAGCCCGUGAACCUAGAGCCCGUGCUCUGCAACAAGAGAAGCCACCACAAUAAGCAUGCGCACCUCAACGAAGAGUAGCCCACACUCUCCACAACUAGAGAAGGCCCGCGCGCACCAAUGAAGACCCAAUGCAGCCAGAAAUAAAUAAAAUUAUAAUAGUUCUCCCUGGGGAAGGGGUCCCCAACCCCCAGGCCACGGACCAGUACCUGGUAGGAACUCGGCGGCACAGCGGGAGGUGAGCGGCAGGUGAGCGAGCAAAGCUUCAUCUGUACUUACAUCUUCAUUGCUCGUACUACCACCUGAGCUCCGCCUCCUGUCAGCAUUAUGAAUGGCAGAGGGGUGCUCUGUGAGAUGCAAAGGAAGAUUUCAGGAGAGAAAAGCAAUAGGAAUAUAAAAAAGUGAAACCAAGAAGACUAAAUAAAAUCAUGUGAGGCAGGCAUUCAUAAACGAAAGCAAAACAGAAUUGCUGGCAUUCCUGAAGUAGGAGCAAAUCAAUGCCUCCCAAAGGCCAGACCACGACGGCUGUGAGCAGGACUCAGAUGUUACCUGGCUGGCUGCUUAACAGGCUUGCGGCAUGCAUCCUACAGGAAUCGCACUCUUGUGUAAAUGACUCAUUAACUUUCGUGAGUCCAGUUAGCGGGUCAAAAUUUAUGGUUGCUACAGAUACUCUGAUUAACGUGCAUUCCCCCCUGGCUCUGAGUGUGGCAAUACAUGGUCUUUCACAAUUUUAUGCUGCAUGAAAAGAUGGGUGUUUUCUUCUCCUCAGAAAAGUCAUCAGUGAGGAAAAUCAGUAUUUCAUCUGGAUUUCUUUUAUGAUGGCCUUUGUUUCCACGUUUCAGCAUCUCAUGUAAUUAGGUAAAAGUGGCAUUCAUCCAAUUUCGGUCACAUGCUCAAAGCUCCCUAGGCUAAUUUAUGUUCUUUCCCUAGCAUUGCAAGGUCCCCAUGUCAGGAUGCCAACUUCACAGCAUGGGAGUUUGACACGUCUAUGUAAACGUGCGUGGAAAAUUCACCACCAAACACAAGUGGAUUCAGAAAACGACAAAAAGUUCAAAUCGCCAUUCCUCUGAAAAUAUCAGUUCUUCUGUGGCACUAUCUGUUAAAGUGUUUGUCAGAAAACAAGUAAGAUAACACAAGAUGCAAAUUUAUCCUUAAGUAUAAAGACAGGGAAGGAAAUUCCUUGAUGGCCAUAUUUAGAAAUGGCUUAUGUAAGAGCAGGUACACAAAUAUUUCUGAGCUCCAUAGCCCAACAAGCAGUAAUCAAGGGGAAUUUAACAGUUCCAGGGUAUUUUUAGGUUCAGUGUUAGAUUCUAAUAAUGUCAGGGUAUCAAUCAGUUGUGUGUAAUAGUGUAUGUGUGCGAAUGAAAGGAAAAGAAAAACAGAUGUUCUCGUACAUGUGGAUGGAUCUUAGCUUAGCCUUGAGAUGAGUUACCAGCUGUUCUUCUAGGUAAGAAAUGAACUGCUUGUAAAUCUCUCUAAUUAACCAUUAAUAGAUUUGGAUUCUGUGAAUUAAGCCAUUGUGCUCUUUCCUAGUUAACUAGCAACACUGUAGAUACAAAUAUAUAAUGUCUCUCCUUCUGCUGAAUUACCAUAUUGAAGUUAGUGAAGAAACUGAGUCUUAGCCUAGGAAACCUUACCUGUUCAAUUCCAAUACUAAGCCUAUUAAACAUUUUUAAGGAGAAAAGGAAUCUUUGAGAAAAUCAUUAUAAGGCAUGAGACAAAUUUAUAGAGUUCAGAGAGAGAACUACCAUGUAUGGCAGUAAAGCCAAAAGAAUUUUUAGCAACAAAAACACACACUGGAGGGCCAGGAAAAGAGUUCAAAAGAUUUUUACAUAAAACGAUCAGAUAUGGGCAAACAAAUUUAUGUACCAAGAGGUUCAUCAUGGUAUUUUUGUAUAAUUACAAAA